AAACCAGCACCUCAAGUGGUCAGGAUGAUUAUUGGGCCUAAAGCAUCCGUAGCCGGCUUUGUAAGUUUUCGGUUAAAUCCAUACGCUCAACGUAUGGGCUGCCGGGAAUACUGCAAGGCUAGGGAGUGGGAGAGGUAGACGGUACUCGGGAGGAAGUGGUAAAAUGCUUUGAUCUCUCGAUGACCACCUGUGGCGAAGGCGGUCUACCAGAACACGUCCGACGGUGAGGGAUGAAAGCUGGGGGAGCAAACCGGAUUAGAAACCCCGGUAGUCC
RNAcentral lists this ribosomal RNA (274 nucleotides) under uncultured bacterium. RNAcentral describes it as "partial 16S ribosomal RNA". It matches the Rfam family "Archaeal small subunit ribosomal RNA", at positions 473 to 747 of the family's 1478-position model. The record is from RNAcentral.